RNAcentral lists this ribosomal RNA (111 nucleotides) under Parageobacillus thermoglucosidasius. Its description in RNAcentral is "partial 16S ribosomal RNA". It matches the Rfam family "Bacterial small subunit ribosomal RNA", at positions 1432 to 1533 of the family's 1533-position model. Lineage: Bacteria; Bacillati; Bacillota; Bacilli; Caryophanales; Anoxybacillaceae. The record is from RNAcentral.
GAGGUAACCCGCAAGGGAGCCAGCCGCCGAAGGUGGGGCAAGUGAUUGGGGUGAAGUCGUAACAAGGUAGCCGUACCGGAAGGUGCGGCUGGAUCACCUCCUUUCUAAGGA